UACGUAGGGGGCAAGCGUUGUCCGGAAUCAUUGGGCGUAAAGAGCGUGUAGGCGGCCCGGUAAGUCCGUUGUGAAAGUCGAGGGCUCAACCCUCGAAUGCCGGUGGAUACUGUCGGGCUAGAGUGCGGAAGAGGCGAGUGGAAUUCCUGGUGUAGCGGUGAAAUGCGCAGAUAUCAGGAGGAACACCGGUGGCGAAGGCGGGUCUCUGGGCAACAACUGACGCUGAGGAGCGAAAGCGUGGGGAGCGAACAGG
RNAcentral lists this ribosomal RNA (253 nucleotides) under uncultured bacterium. Its description in RNAcentral is "partial 16S ribosomal RNA". It matches the Rfam family "Bacterial small subunit ribosomal RNA", at positions 524 to 776 of the family's 1533-position model. The record is from RNAcentral.